Molecule: ribosomal RNA, 508 nt
Filed under: uncultured bacterium
Lineage: Bacteria
Description: partial 16S ribosomal RNA
Rfam family: Bacterial small subunit ribosomal RNA
Source: RNAcentral
AUUGAACGCUGGCGGCAUGCCUUACACAUGCAAGUCGAACGGCAGCGGGGGAGAAGCUUGCUUUUCCUGCCGGCGAGUGGCGAACGGGUGAGUAAUACAUCGGAACGUGCCCUGUAGUGGGGGAUAACUAGUCGAAAGAUUAGCUAAUACCGCAUACGACCUGAGGGUGAAAAUGGGGGACCGCAAGGCCUCAUGCUAUAGGAGCGGCCGAUGUCUGAUUAGCUAGUUGGUGGGGUAAAGGCCUACCAAGGCGACGAUCAGUAGCUGGUCUGAGAGGACGAUCAGCCACACUGGGACUGAGACACGGCCCAGACUCCUACGGGAGGCAGCAGUGGGGAAUUUUGGACAAUGGGCGAAAGCCUGAUCCAGCAAUGCCGCGUGUGUGAAGAAGGCCUUCGGGUUGCAAAGCACUUUUGUCCGGAAAGAAAUGGCUCUGGUUAAUACCUGGGGUCGAUGACGGUACCGGAAGAAUAAGGACCGGCUAACUACGUGCCAGCAGCCGCGGUAA